GGAGAGGUGCCAGAGUGGCCGAAUGGAACUGACUGCUAAUCAGUUGACCUGGUAACGGGUCCCAGGGUUCGAAUCCCUGCCUCUCCG
Molecule: transfer RNA, 87 nt
Filed under: hydrothermal vent metagenome
Description: tRNA-Ser-GCT
Rfam family: tRNA
About the family: Transfer RNA (tRNA) molecules are approximately 80 nucleotides in length. Their secondary structure includes four short double-helical elements and three loops (D, anti-codon, and T loops).
Source: RNAcentral